AAACUUUUCGGCUAGAGUUUGAUAGAGGAAAGCAGAAUUUCUAGUGUAGAGGUGAAAUUCGUAGAUAUUAGAAAGAAUACCAAUUGCGAAGGCAGCUUUCUGGAUCAUCACUGACACUGAGGAACGAAAGCAUGGGUAGCGAAGAGGAUUAGAUACCCUCGUAGUCCAUGCCGUAAACGAUGUGUGUUAGACGUUGGAAAUUUAUUUUCAGUGUCGCAGCGAAAGCGAUAAACACACCGCCUGGGGAGUACGACCGCAAGGUUAAAACUCAAAUGAAUUGACGGGGACCCGCACAAGUAGUGGAGCAUGUGGUUUAAUUCGAAGAUACGCGCAGAACCUUACCAACACUUGACAUGUUCGUCGCAACUUUAAGAGAUUAAAGUUUUCGGUUCGGCCGGACGAAACACAGGUGCUGCAUGGCUGUCGUCAGCUCGUGUCGUGAGAUGUUGGGUUAAGUCCCGCAACGAGCGCAACCCUCACUUUUAGUUGCCAUCAUUAAGUUGGGCACUCUGAAAGAACUGCCAGUGAUAAGCUGGAGGAAGGUGGGGAUGACGUCAAGUCCUCAUGGCCCUUACGUGUUGGGCUACACACGUGCUACAAUGGUAUUUACAAAAGGAAGCAAGACGGCGACGUUAAGCAAAUCCUUAAAAAAUACCUCAGUUCGGAUUGCACUCUGCAACUCGAGUGCAUGAAGCUGGAAUUACUAGUAAUCGUGGAUCAGCGUGCCACGGUGAAUGCGUUCCCGGGUCUUGUACACACCGCCCGUCACACCAUGGGAGUUGGUUCUACCUUAAGGCAAGGUUUAAAACCCUUGACCACGGUAUAGUCAGCGACUGGGGUGAAGUCGUAACAAGGUAACC
This 860-nucleotide ribosomal RNA is filed under the name uncultured bacterium. RNAcentral's name for it is "bacterial SSU rRNA". It matches the Rfam family "Bacterial small subunit ribosomal RNA", at positions 630 to 1501 of the family's 1533-position model. The record is from RNAcentral.